Long non-coding RNA from Oreochromis aureus, 476 nucleotides. RefSeq lists it as uncharacterized. The record is from RefSeq and is a predicted model, not a curated record. The transcript has 4 exons. NCBI's taxonomy places the organism in Eukaryota, Metazoa, Chordata, Actinopteri, Cichliformes, Cichlidae.
UGCAGUGGAAAAAGUAACAGCCUGUAACUGGGAUUUGGUUCAGGAGGAGCAGAACGGAAUCACCAAGAAGACCGGAGGUUGUUUCAGCAGGAAUUAUAAUACUUCCGACUGUCUUGGCAUCACAUUCAUCACAUUGUUAUUUCUGAGAAAACAAAUGAAGUGGAAGUGGUACCAUCGAAGUGGGUCAACGGAGAACAGUGUAUGUGGCCACCAAACAAAGUGGAUGUUGUUAAAGCAACAAAGAGCCAGGAAAAACCUGGAGCAGGCUGGAAAACAUAUGUUCCGAGUUAUAUUCACAUCAAGCGAGGCUAAAGCUUCCAGAAGCUGCUGAACACACUGACCUUGGGACAGAUUCUCCAAUUAAACCCAAAAGGAGAAGAACUGACAGUUGAGGAGGGCUGGUGAGCGGACGUGACAGCCGAGCGGGAGUGCCUGUGUCCCGAGCGUGUGCCGAAACCACAGUGAACUGUUAUAAU